AUAUGUCAGAGGUGUUCAAACCAGAGCAAGUCCAUCUUGAAUAGGGGCUGGGUAAAAUAAGGCUGAGACCUACUGGGCUGCAUUCCCAGGAGGUUGAGGCAUUCUUACUCACAGGGUGAGACAGGCGGUCAGCACAAGAUACAGAUCAUAAAGACCUUGCUAAUAAAACAGGUUGCAGUAAAGAAGCUGGCCAAAACCCAUCAAAACCAAGAUGGCCACCAAAGUGAUCUCUGGUCAUCCUCACUGCUCAUUAUACACUAAUUAUAAUGCAAUUAGCAUGCUAAGAGACACUCCCACCAGCACUAUGACUAUUUACAAAUGCAUGGCAAUGUCAGGAAGUUACCCUAUAUGGUCUAGAAAGGACAGGAACCCUCAGUUCCAGGAACUGUCCACCCCUUUCCCAGAAAACCCAUGUAUAAUUCACCCCUUAUUUAGCAUACAAUCAAGAAAUAUCUACAAGUAUCCUUAGUCCAGCAGCCCGAGCUGCUGCUCUGCCUAUGCAGUAGCCAUUCUUUAUUCCCUUACUAUCUCCAAUAAACUUGUUUUCACUAAAAAAAAAAAAAAAAAAAGACUCCAGGCCCAGAUAGUGUCAGUGGUGAAUUCCACCAAACAUUUAAGGAAAAAUAAUACUAAUUCUACACAAAUGCUUCCAAAAAAUUGAAGAGGACAGAGUGCCUUCUGCUUUAUUCUAUGAGUCCAGGAUCGCAUCAAUACCAAAACCAGACAAAGAUAGACAAGAAAACUAAAAACCAAUAUCUCUCAUGAAUAUACACAUAAAAAUUCUUAACAAAAAAAGCUUAGCAAAUCAAAUCCAAUAAUAAAGGUAAAAGAUAAUACAUGGCCAAGUGGAGUUUAUUCCAGAAAUGCAGGCUUGAUUUAACAUUAGAAAGAUCAAUCAAUAAAAUGGACAAUAGUUAGAACUAAAAAGGACCCAGAAUGGCAAAAACAACUUUCAACAAGAAAAAAAUUAGAAGACUUACAGUACAUGACUUUAAGACUUAUAACACUAUAAUGAUCAAGACAAUGUGCUAUUGGCAACAAGACAGACAAAUGGACCAAUGGAACAGUUCAUCCAUACUCAACAUGGAUGAAUCUUUUUUUUUUUUUUUUUUUUUUUUUUUUUUUUUGAAAAAGAAAGAGUUUUGCUCUUGUUGCCCAGGCUGGAGUGCAAUGGCACGAUCUUGGCUCACCGCAACCUCCGCCUCCCGGGUUCAAGCAAUUCUCCUGCCUCAGCCUCCCGAGUAGCUGGGACUACAGGCAUGUGCCACCAUGCCUGGCUAAUUUUGUAUUUUUAGUAGAGACGGGGUUUCUCCAUGUUGGUCAGGCUGGUCUUGAACUCCUGACCUCAGAUGAUCUGCCCACCUUGGCCUCCCAA
This 1375-nucleotide long non-coding RNA is filed under the name Homo sapiens (human). RNAcentral's name for it is "non-protein coding lnc-TDP1-6:4". The record is from RNAcentral. Lineage: Eukaryota; Metazoa; Chordata; Mammalia; Primates; Hominidae.